UUUAAGGGUUUUAUUGGCAUGGGAAACAUAUGUUAACAAGCAAGUGAAGUAGAUAAUAAACUAAAGUGAAAUAAACAAUCAAAAUUAACAGUCUCUCUCUCUCUCUUUCUCUCUGCAUGUCAAGGAGAUGAGUAUAGUGAUGCUGGUGGUGAAGGGGGUGGGCAUUAGCCUACACAUCCUGAUGAUUUCCAUGUAGUGACCUCAGUGUCUGCAGGUCUAUCUAUAUGUGCUGCAGAGUGAAACUGGUUCAAACCGGCCGGAGGUUAGACUUCUAAACCACCAGAGAACUCAGCUAUCUGUGGUGACUAAGUGUUAAAACUGUCAACUUCUCUGUUCUAAAGUUACCAUGUUUAUUUCAGUAGAGGAGGAACACAUUGUUGAGAUGAUGACAAUAUAGUUAAAGUAUACAUCAAUAUAUUUUAUAACUUUUUUUCUGACAUUUAUUGAUCAAAAUACAGUCUUUGUAAAUGGAUUUCCAAAAGUAAAAAUGGUUACAAAGAAUAACAUUUUACUAAAACUCUCCUGUCUCUGUGUCAGUUUAAUGGUGUCAUCAUUUCAGUUUGGGUCUGUUGUGUUGAGGGUUUGGUAGGUGGAGUCUUGGGUUGUUGUGUCGAGGGUUUGGUAGGUGGAGUCUUGGGUUGUUGUGUUGAGGGUUUGGUAGGUGGAGUCUUGGGUUGUUGUGUUGAGGGUUUGGUAGGUGGAGUCUUGGGUUGUUGUGUCGAGGGUUUGGUAGGUGGAGUCUUGGGUUGUUGUGUUGAGGGUUUGGUAGGUGGAGUCUUGGGUUGUUGUGUUGAGGGUUUGGUAGGUGGAGUCUUGGGUUGUUGUGUUGAGGGUUUGGUAGGUGGAGUCUUAGGUUGCUGUGUUGAGGGUUUGGUAGGUGGAGUCUUGGGUUGUUUGUAGGUGGAGUCUUGGGUUGGUUUGUUGAAUGUUUGGUUGGUGGAGUCUUGGGCUGGUUUGUUGAAUGUUUGGUUGGUGGAGUCUUGGGCUGGUUUGUUGAAUGUUUGGUUGGUGGAGUCUUGGGUUGUUGUGUUGAGGGUUUGGUAGGUGGAGUCUUGGGUUGUUGUGUUGAGGGUUUGGUAGGUGGUGUCUUGGGUUGCUAUGUUGAGGGUUUGGUAGGUGGAGUCUUGGGUUGCUAUGUUGAGGGUUUGGCAGGUGGAGUCUUGGGUUGUUGUGUCUGGAUU
Oncorhynchus keta (chum salmon) is the source of this 1181-nucleotide long non-coding RNA. RefSeq lists it as uncharacterized. The transcript is spliced from 4 exons. The record is from RefSeq and is a predicted model, not a curated record. Lineage: Eukaryota; Metazoa; Chordata; Actinopteri; Salmoniformes; Salmonidae.